UACAUGGGGUGCAACCGUUGCUCGGAAUUAUUGGGCGUAAAGCGCGCGUAGGCGGUUACUCAAGUCGGAUGUGAAAGCCCUCGGCUUAACUGAGGAAGUGCACCCGAAACUGAGUAGCUAGAGUACUAAAGAGGGUCGCGGAAUUCCCGGUGUAGAGGUGAAAUUCGUAGAUAUCGGGAGGAACACCGGUGGCGAAGGCGGCGACCUGGGUAGAUACUGACGCUGAGGCGCGAAAGCGUGGGGAGCAAACAGG
Molecule: ribosomal RNA, 253 nt
Filed under: uncultured bacterium
Lineage: Bacteria
Description: partial 16S ribosomal RNA
Rfam family: Bacterial small subunit ribosomal RNA
Source: RNAcentral